This 330-nucleotide long non-coding RNA is filed under the name Ananas comosus (pineapple). RNAcentral's name for it is "long non-coding RNA (ACOM_LNC036992)". The record is from RNAcentral. Lineage: Eukaryota; Viridiplantae; Streptophyta; Magnoliopsida; Poales; Bromeliaceae.
UUGCUAGUACUAGAAUUCAUGGGUUAGAGUAUAAAAUCUGAAUUUGGAGUUAAACUAGUAUUUAUAUUCAUGUUGGACUUGGAAUUGACUUAGGGAAAAACUAUUUAAUCCUACACUGUCAUUUUCUAAAAGGUUACCAGAUUUAGCUUUAGGAGCUAUGGUUUGUUUGUAUCGCCGCUGUUCAUAUGCCGUGGAUAUUCGGAUUAGUGUAGGAUGAGUUUACGCUCGUGCUGGGAUGCCGAGCUUAUUUUACAGUAGUGGGUAGAUUGUUUCGGACUGUCAGGUGUCGUCGCCGUUGAUGGUGGACCCACAUUUUCUGUAUUUUGUAUU